UACGAGGGGGGCGAGCGUUGUUCGGAAUUAUUGGGCGUAAAGGGUGCGUAGGCGGUUCCGCAAGUCCUGUGUGAAAUCUUCGGGCUCAACUCGAAGUCUGCACGGGAAACUGCGGGGCUUGAGUGUGGGAGAGGUGAGUGGAAUUCCCGGUGUAGCGGUGAAAUGCGUAGAUAUCGGGAAGAACACCCGUGGCGAAGGCGGCACUCUGGGACGGUACUGACGCUGAGACGCGAAAGCGUGGGGAGCGAACAGG
RNAcentral lists this ribosomal RNA (253 nucleotides) under uncultured bacterium. RNAcentral describes it as "partial 16S ribosomal RNA". It matches the Rfam family "Bacterial small subunit ribosomal RNA", at positions 524 to 776 of the family's 1533-position model. The record is from RNAcentral.